UCCUCGAGAAAAUUUUGUUAU
This 21-nucleotide non-coding RNA is filed under the name Caenorhabditis elegans. The record is from RNAcentral. Lineage: Eukaryota; Metazoa; Nematoda; Chromadorea; Rhabditida; Rhabditidae.